AUGAACGCUGGCGGCGUGCUUAACACAUGCAAGUCGCACGAUGAAGCCCAGCUUGCUGGGUGGAUUAGUGGCGAACGGGUGAGUAACACGUGAGUAACCUGCCCUUAACUCUGGGAUAAGCCUGGGAAACUGGGUCUAAUACCGGAUAGGAGCGUCCACCGCAUGGUGGGUGUUGGAAAGAUUUAUCGGUUUUGGAUGGACUCGCGGCCUAUCAGCUUGUUGGUGAGGUAAUGGCUCACCAAGGCGACGACGGGUAGCCGGCCUGAGAGGGUGACCGGCCACACUGGGACUGAGACACGGCCCAGACUCCUACGGGAGGCAGCAGUGGGGAAUAUUGCACAAUGGGCGCAAGCCUGAUGCAGCGACGCCGCGUGAGGGAUGACGGCCUUCGGGUUGUAAACCUCUUUCAGUAGGGAAGAAGCGAAAGUGACGGUACCUGCAGAAGAAGCACCGGCUAACUACGUG
This 465-nucleotide ribosomal RNA is filed under the name uncultured bacterium. RNAcentral's name for it is "partial 16S ribosomal RNA". It matches the Rfam family "Bacterial small subunit ribosomal RNA", at positions 29 to 507 of the family's 1533-position model. The record is from RNAcentral.